Molecule: long non-coding RNA, 1153 nt
Organism: Poecilia reticulata (guppy)
Lineage: Eukaryota; Metazoa; Chordata; Actinopteri; Cyprinodontiformes; Poeciliidae
Source: RefSeq, a predicted model, not a curated record
CUCAACUUGUUAAAGUUACUAAUAGUAAUAAGACUUGUAACAUAUUUCUACAUCAGAAACAGGUUUCAUGUUCAACCAGCGAUGUCAACAAUAUCAGGCGGUAAAGAUUCACCUUUAUGACGUCAUUUAACAGGGAUUAUUGGUGCUGCGCUCUAAUUCCAUCAAUUAGCUUCACUACAAGUUUUAUUAAACUAUAAAUAUACAUUUACACAAGAUGUGAGAACUAGGCCACAAAAUAUUGAAACUUCUAAACGCGUCACUAAGAUAAAGCUAUAAGUAACAGAUAAUAACAUAUAAGAUCUUUUUCUAAAAGAAUCAGAAAAAUGUCGAGUUUUUAAAGUCAAAACUGAACAAAGUUUGACCUUAAAUUAAAUGAAAAGUCAAGACAAAAAAAGGUAUUUGAUGAAAAACAUCGACUUAAAGAUAUAAAGACGUAUUAAAUGAAAUUACAGCAGAAAUAUUUUUUCCGCUUUUAGCCAGCUAGCAACUGGCUAGCUAGCUAAAUGCUAUUUAUCUAGAAACAUCCAAAAUGUCAAUAAAUGAUGCAUUAGGCUCAUCUGUACACAAGUUACUGGUUUGUUUGUUCGGCAUCAUAAGCCAGGCAAAGCAGGAGAAACGUCACUUCCUGUUCCAACCCGCUGGUGUGUGAAUGAUUUUAGUUUCUCUGUUGCUUCUUAAACCAAAUGGAGGAGAAACAACCGAGUCACGUCUCCAACUGGCGUCGCUUUAAGCAGCAUUUUAGCAGCAGGAAUCAUUCAGGUGAUCCAACGUCACCAAAGAACCGGAACCAGUUCAGGAACAGAACCGGUCCGAGCAGAACCAGAUUCAGAAUGUGGGUCAGGGUUCUCGGAGGAUCCAGAAGCUUCUGGUCUGCUCCGUUUCUCCUUGUCAAUAAAGUUUUCUCUCCCAAAGCAGGAAGUGGGUGAGAUGAUGAGUCAGCGUCACGGGAUGACCCGCUGAUGGAUCAUGAUGACUCAGCAGGAAAACUGAAGGCCCAGAUGUGACCCGGAAGAACUUUUCUGUUCUGCUCCUUCCGGAUCAUCGAGCAGCAAAAACCAAGACGGACAAGUUACAAGUUUUUAUGUUGCUUAAAAAGUUAAACUGAACUUGAUCCUAAAAUCCUUCAGUGUUGAUUAAACAGGAUUUAACUCCU